Molecule: transfer RNA, 82 nt
Filed under: Lepidopterella palustris CBS 459.81
Lineage: Eukaryota; Fungi; Ascomycota; Dothideomycetes; Mytilinidiales; Argynnaceae
Rfam family: tRNA
About the family: Transfer RNA (tRNA) molecules are approximately 80 nucleotides in length.
Source: Rfam by way of RNAcentral
GCGCGGGUGGUUUAGUGGUAAAAUCCAUCGUUGCCAAGAUCACAGUAUCGAUGGGCCCCGGGUUCGAUUCCCGGCCCGCGCA